Molecule: non-coding RNA, 1805 nt
Organism: Solanum lycopersicum (tomato)
Lineage: Eukaryota; Viridiplantae; Streptophyta; Magnoliopsida; Solanales; Solanaceae
Source: RefSeq, a predicted model, not a curated record
GUUCUCUCUUUGUUAAACAAAUUCCAAAUAUACUUUUUCAUUUUAUCUGUAAGAUUUCCAAAGUGAACAAAAUGAACUUAAUCAGCUACCAACUGAGAUUUCAAUUCUCUGCAAAAAAUAUGAGCUCCCAUAACUUUCAACAUAAUUAGCUCUUAAUAUACCCAAAUUUCUUCCAAUCUCUCCCAUAAUUAGCUCGCAAUAUUUCCCCAAAUUUCUUGGUAACUAGUUCUCAAUAUACCCAGAUUUCACAAUCAAGGAGAUUGUUCUCUCAUAAAUUGCACAUUUAAGGAGAUACGCGAGUGUACCUAUGACUUCAGAUUUCCCUCAGCUCUAGACAGCCUCCCGCAUAUCAAGUUUCAAGAUAAAGGUAACCAGGAUGAGCAUCCAGCACAACAUUGAUUCUAGUUGAGCUUCAGAGUUUGUUGGGAUGGCGAAGCAAAAUCAGUCUAAAAAUAUGUUCAAAUCAGCGGCGAGCUCUUCUCUUGCUCCAGGAUACUUUCCACAAUCUCAGGAUCAAGCUUCAUCAUCAAAAACAAGUCGACAUGUUACAUAUUCAUCAUCUGAUGGAGACUCUUUAAAAUUUGUUUCAUCUACUUUUGAUGGAGUUUCUUCAAAGCAAACAAAACAUAAAGACAAUGAAGUCAAUCAUGAUUGGUUUGUCGAUGUUAUAGAUCAAAAUCAAGUAACAAAAACAGUUAGAAUGAAGAUCAGGGAUGUCCAUAACAUGGAAAAUGGAUUGCGGAUAAUUGUAGAAUGUGAUGAAUAGGCUGCACCUAUUGGAAAAGCAGCCGGAAUAAUUGCAGGUAUUAUGGUCAGACAUGCCAGAUUCUUACUUGGAUCGUGUUUUUAAUGAAAUCCUGAUUGUACUUCCUUGUUAAAUAUUUUUCUUAGUUUGAUUCUUUUAGCUAAAACUGCAUUAAACUAACAUUACUCUGUGAAGGCUCGAUUUCUCUUAAUGAUUGAUCAUCAAAAGGAAAAAAGAUGGGUUGGCAGUAAUCUUAAGUGGAAGGACCACAGGCAUAAACUAUGGUAUACCACAGAAAAUCCAUUAUUGAGCAAAGAAGAGAUCAUUACAACAUCUCCAAAUGGAAUACCCAUGGAUCAAUGGGCACCGUUUAACAAUUAUCGUAUGGACGAGAAAACACUAGUACUUAAUUCUUCCUUUUUUUCUUUCUAUUACUUGUUUUUCUCUGUCAUUAUUGUGGCCCUUUUAUUGACUUUCUACUGCUACUUCUUUUCUGUCACAUAUUUCUUCUUUACAUGAAGUUAACUGUUCAUAUUGUUCUAAUCAAAACCUGUAGAAACUUUGCAAGAAUCAACAGAUUCCACAAAAUCAAAUUCCUCAUACCAGAGGUGCUAAGAGUUUGGCUAGAAGAAGAGCUGAAAUGGUAGUUUAAUACAAUGUUCUUAGAUAUAUAUUCUCUUAAUUAUUUAUUAAUGUCUUACAAUUUAAAAAUUUUAGAGGGCAAAGGGAAAACAUGUUGAUCGAGGUAAAACGUGGACUGAGACUCAUAAGAGAAAAGAUGGAAGUUAUGUAACUGAGGCGGCUAGAGAGAUUAAUAUAUGAUUAGUCGAGUAGCUAUCGAAUCAGAUUUCUGGUUUUGGUGACAGUAAAAAAAGUAAUGCUUCAAUUGAGAUACUGAAAUUGAGGACUAAAAACUACUUCCCUAAAACACAAUAUUCUUAAAGUUAUUGUUUUUUUUCUGUAUGUGUUUAGUUGAUGUUGAUGUAGUACGGAUAUCAGUCUAUGUACUGAAAUGCAACAGUGAAGCCUUCCUUUGAGUAGUAAUUCUACUAUGCAGCAA